UGCUUUCAAACACAGCCAAGGACCCACCCUACUUUGUGUUGGAACGCUGGAAUAGCCUUAGGAUUCAGAGAAAAUCCUUUCUGUGGCAUGAGCACUGUCACACGCCAGCCCUGACGCCUGCAGCUGAAUCGGCAGGCUGCACACCCCAGAACCUGCCACGAUGUUUGUCACCUGACGGCAUCUCUCGGCACUCAGGCUCAAUAAACCAUAGUCAUGGACUUGGAGAAACCACGUGGCUGGUCGGUAUAUACACUGAACAAAUCACCUCUUUUGGCCUCAUUUUCUUUGUAAACUAAAGCGGUCACGUCCAUCGUGAAAGAUGAAGGGGUUGAAUCUAACAUGGUCUGGCUCUGGGCCUCUUAAAAAGAUUCCAUCUGCCGAAGAAAGAUAACCCUCUUUGCCUUUAUUUUUAAAAACCUCCAGUGCGCAGGAUUCUACUUACUUCCAUACAAACCCGGUUACUAAUAUGCCUGACUGUCAGCAAGCUCUCUGCCUCCACCCCGGCUCUCUCUCCUGAUCACACAGUUGCCACUGGCUUUCAUCAGGUGUAAUAAGCCUUCGGGAAGCGCGGCGAGGGAAACGGAGAGCACAGAUUGCACAAGGGGGCUUCUCGCGCGUGUGCAGCACAGCAUCGCCCGCGCACUCUCGUGUCCUCCCAAAGCUGAGAAAAUCGAGGAUGCCAAGCGUAUGGAAAGACGUGCUGCUGCUGUCCAAAUGGGAAAGGCGGGUGGAGAAAAUCAUUUAGAAAAAGAGGCUGAGGGAAAAGAGAAAAUCAAGCCCAAUCCAACAGCUGCAAACAAGAAGCCCGGGAAACGGUUACCUUGGAUGAACUCGGAUUUCCUGCUCACAGAAGGCAGGGUCCGGUUGAGUCCCAGGAUCCUGUCCAGGUGGAAGGCAAACACCUCGCUCAUGUCCAGAGGCUGCUUGAGCAGCCCGCAGGGGCUGGGUCCGCAGGCGGGCCCCGCGGGCCGGCCUGUCCCCUGCAACACCAGCAGGCGCGCUCUGCUCCUGGGCCAGGCCGGCUGGAGACCCGCCACCGUGCCGUCGGCCAGCAGGCGCAUCCGGCCGAUGUCUUCUCCGCUCAGCCACGACGGGGCGCUCUCGCUGUAGAUCCUGAUGUUGCUUCCCUCGGCCCGGGGCAGCUGCGCAUCUGCGUCCCCACCUUGCGCUCCCACACCCUGCAUCCACCCCCAGGGUCGCUCCCCAGCCUUGGCCAGGUUUCCUCCCCGGACGUGCCCGGGCACUUCAGCAUCAGCUGCCCUUGCAGCUUCCUGAGGCCGAAGGGACGGUCCGACCAAAGUCCCGGGUCCCGGGGCCUGAGAAGCCACCGCAUACUUCUUCCUGCGCUUGGGUUUCACGGUGCCACGGAUGCUGGCGGGCUUGCUGCGCUUGGAGCGCAAGGUGUCUACGUGGUCUUCAGUGGGUCGAGGAGGAAGUUAAGGGCUGGUGAUGGAGCCGGGCAGGCUUCUGACACUGGCCACAGCAGACCUUCUAAACCCCGACAGCCUCCCCGAGGAGAAGUCUGGCUAGUUCCUGGGAAUGAAUGGAAACAGAGCGAACUGAGUCACAGUCUCAAACUCGUCAGCUGAAAGAAGAGAACCAAAAGCCCUCUAGCUCUACUUUUUCACAUUAUUAAAAAGAAGAACUGGUAAAAAGCAACCUUACUUACACAGCUGGCCCCGUGCUUGGCCCCAGGAAGAAUGCAAUCCCUGACUCUAAUGCAAAGAACUAUUAAAGGCUGAGGCAUGUGUCAUGUUGCCUCCCUCUUACCCUGUGAAUCCAUCAACUGGAAACACUGUUGAAGAAAAACCACACGUUCACACCAACAAGCAAGUGAAGAGGCCAUCAUUGAGAAUCACGUGCAGGUGAUGAAGCCCAGAAGGCAGAAGCUGCUCUGCUGAGAGACCCAGCAGGAGCAGAACCACUUCAAGGCCCAGAGGACAUCAUGGUGAGGAGAGACUUCCUCCGAGCUUCUUCUAGAACUAACGGUGCCCAGCACCUCGGGAGCUGCAGCAUCAUGAGCACAGUGGUGGUGCCACAUCCAUCAGUCACGGCAGCAAGAGGUCUUCUUCUGACGACUGUGAUGCUGAGAAUUAGGAAAAAAUCAGAAGGGAAUGUACACAAGCCUCCAGCACAUCUUCGCCACCUCCUGAAGCGGCACAUGUGUACUUGUUCCUGUGUAUGACCUUCCUGUGCAUCCAACAAGGAGGCUUCCCUCGGCUCUGCACUAGGAUCCCAUCUGCUUGCACCCACACAAGGGCAUUGUUCCAGGAAUUCUCUCCUUUCUUUUCCCUGGUGGCCCACCCUCAAGACAGCCCUGGAUGAUCCUCAGUGCUUGGUACCUGCACCGUGAUGCAGUCCCCUCUCACACUGAGUCAGGGAUGGACUGUAUAACCAGCAGAAUUCUGCAGAAGCCCCAGUGUGUGACUUCAGCUGCCAGGUCAUAAAAGACAAUGGCACCUCUGCCUUCUGGGAGUUCUCACUGUGGGGAAGCCACACCAUGACAUGGGGAUACUCAUGCAGUCCUCUGAUGAGGCCCGUGAAGGGAAACUGAGGUCUCCCCCCAAGCAGUGAGGGCCAACAUGCCUGGCCCAUAAGCAAACCUCCUCAGAGGUGGCACCUCCAGCCCGUCCACAUCUUCAGAUGCCUGGAACCAUGGCCAGCAUCUCCAUGCAGUUUUGGGGGAGACUCUGAGUGAGAACCCCACCCAAGAUGCUCCCAAAUUCCUGACCCACAGAAACUGUGAGAGAGGACAGAUGUCCAGUGUCCCCCAAGGCAUUGCAUUUGGGAUAAUUUGUUACACAGCAAUAGAUAACUAAUACAUCUCCUGUGAUCACAGGACUUGAGCUGCUCCCCAUCUUUCCCAGAGGAAAAUCCAGAGUCCCCUGUAGGCCUUAUGAGGCCCCUCCCAUCCUGUUCACCCCAUUCUCACCACCCCAGGUCCACCCACGGUGACCUCCUUCUCUUCCUCAGAGUCCUGAGAUGGGCCUCAGGGCUUCUGUCCUCACUGUUCCCUCUCCCCUCCCCCCCCAGCCAUCCCUCAAUGUCUCCCUCUCUGGGAGGCCUUCCCUGAUGACCCUUCCAGAAACACAGCUUCCCACAUACAACCACACCCACAUCCACACACAUUUGUCUUUCUCCCUCCUUUAUUUUUUCCUUAAUACAUCUUACUAUUUAAUAGACCACAUGUACUGUUUAUGAUCUGGCUGCCCUCAUAGCUGAGAGCUGAGCUGGUAUAGGGAUUGUUGUCUGUCCCCAGUGUCUAUAACACUGCCCAGUUUACUGUACAUCCACCAUAAAGAUGUCUUGGAUGAAUGCAUGAAUGUUGAGGAUGCAAGGAUGCAAAAUUAAUAGUACCUUAAAAAUGCCUGACAUAGGCCUUUGUGAUCUGACUCCAUUUAUAAACCUACCUCUAAAAUUUACCACUAGUUUAUAUAGCAAAUACACAGGUCCUUAGAAUCUGCACCUUUUGUUUCAUCUUGAUUUUCUUCUAAGUUCUCUGUUUUUUAACUUUUAUUCCUAUUAUUAUGUCCUCAUUCUACACUGCUUCAAAGACUUCAUGAAAUUAAUAUAAAUAAAUGAAAGUAAGUAAAUAAUGUUAGUGUUCUCAGAAUAGGUGAUUAAAACUAUCACUGGUUCAGUACAUUAGAGAAUUGUAAACAUUUUAAGAAAUAAAGAUCUAAUUUUUUGUGAACCCUAUUUUUAAAAGUCAGCAAAAGGUAAUAGUUUUAUUUUUCAUUGAGGUAAACUUUAUUGUGAAAUAGUUUACAUGAAAAAUAAACUUUGGAUCAGGACAGGAACAUUUAUAUUUAACAUUUUGCCUCAUCAAUUCUCAGUAUCACAGUGUAUUUUUUCUAAUGUCAGGUUAUUCUUGGAAAAUUUCAUUUGCUUUCUGGAUAUAAUAAAACUCUUCUUGAAAAUUA
Lagenorhynchus albirostris (white-beaked dolphin) is the source of this 3923-nucleotide long non-coding RNA. RefSeq lists it as uncharacterized. The record is from RefSeq and is a predicted model, not a curated record. The transcript is spliced from 6 exons. NCBI's taxonomy places the organism in Eukaryota, Metazoa, Chordata, Mammalia, Artiodactyla, Delphinidae.